UUGCUUUUUCUGUAUGACGACCGGCGCACGGGUGCGUAACGCGUAUACAACCUACCUUUUAGCGGGGAAUAGCCCAGGAAACUUGGAUUAAUGCCCAUAUAUAUAGAUUCUCUGAAGUUUAUAUUAAACAUUUAUGGCUAUUAGAUGGGUAUGCGUCUAUUAGUUAGUUGGUAAGGUAACGGCUUACCAAGGCAGCGAUAGGUAGGGGUCCUGAGAGGGAGAUCCCCACACUGGUACUGAGACACGGACCAGACUCCUACGGGAGGCAGCAGUGAGGAAUAUUGGACAAUGGGCGAGAGCCUGAUCCAGCCAUGCCGCGUGCAGGAAGACUGCCCUAUGGGUUGUAAACUGCUUUUACAGAGGAAGAACCACCCCCACGUGUGGGAGUUUGACGGUACUCUGCGAAUAAGGAUCGGCUAACUCCGUG
RNAcentral lists this ribosomal RNA (427 nucleotides) under uncultured bacterium. Its description in RNAcentral is "bacterial SSU rRNA". It matches the Rfam family "Bacterial small subunit ribosomal RNA", at positions 75 to 507 of the family's 1533-position model. The record is from RNAcentral.